Molecule: ribosomal RNA, 388 nt
Filed under: uncultured bacterium
Lineage: Bacteria
Description: bacterial SSU rRNA
Rfam family: Bacterial small subunit ribosomal RNA
Source: RNAcentral
GACGAACGCUGGCGGCGUGCUUAACACAUGCAAGUCGAGCGGUAAGGCCCUUUCGGGGGUACACGAGCGGCGAACGGGUGAGUAACACGUGGGUGACCUGCCCUCAGCUCUGGGAUAAGCCUGGGAAACCGGGUCUAAUACUGGAUAUGACUCCAUGACGCAUGUUGUGGGGUGGAAAGCCUUGUGCGGCUGAGGAUGGGCCCGCGGCCUAUCAGCUUGUUGGUGGGGUGANGGCCUACCAAGGCGACGACGGGUAGCCGGCCUGAGAGGGCGACCGGCCACACUGGGACUGAGACACGGCCCAGACUCCUACGGGAGGCAGCAGUGGGGAAUCUCGCGCAAUGGGCGAAAGCCUGACGCAGCGACGCCGCGUGAGGGAUGACGGCCU